This 361-nucleotide RNase P RNA is filed under the name Legionellales bacterium. RNAcentral describes it as "RNase P RNA component class A". It matches the Rfam family "Bacterial RNase P class A". Rfam says of the family: Ribonuclease P (RNase P) is a ubiquitous endoribonuclease, found in archaea, bacteria and eukarya as well as chloroplasts and mitochondria. Its best characterised activity is the generation of mature 5'-ends of tRNAs by cleaving the 5'-leader elements of precursor-tRNAs. Lineage: Bacteria; Pseudomonadati; Pseudomonadota; Gammaproteobacteria; Legionellales. The record is from RNAcentral.
AAAGUCGGUCAGGCAAUCGCGCUUUAAACGUUGUUUAAAGUGAGGAAAGUCCGGGCUCCAUAGGGUAAAGUGCCAGGUAACGCCUGGGAGACGUGAGUCUACGGAAAGUGCCACAGAAAUGAUACCGCCUAAUCUGAUUAGGUAAGGGUGAAAUGGUGCGGUAAGAGCGCACCGCGCAACUGGUAACAGUUGUGGCAGGGUAAACCCCACUGGGAGCAAGACCAAAUAGGAAUUCAUUUGACGUAAGUCAAAACGCACGACCCGUGCGGAAUUCGGGUAGGUCGCAUGAGAUAAAUGGUGACAUUUAUCCUAGAUGAAUGGUUGUCCACGACAGAACCCGGCUUAUCGACCGACUUUUUUU